CCCCGCUACCAUUGGACAAAAAGACAUCGUGUUGAUGGUGUUCUUAUAUCAGUCAGGGGCAGAGCAGAUGGCAGACCUUUGUUCAUUCUAGCUUGGUUCUUGGCUCAUUGGCCAAAGCUGUUUUGUGCCUAGGACAAAUAA
Small nucleolar RNA from Grammomys surdaster, 141 nucleotides. RefSeq annotates it as small nucleolar RNA SNORA48. Lineage: Eukaryota; Metazoa; Chordata; Mammalia; Rodentia; Muridae. The record is from RefSeq and is a predicted model, not a curated record. The transcript has a single exon.